The submitters of this non-coding RNA (191 nucleotides) gave its source as unclassified sequences. The record is from Rfam.
UGUUGGACGCAACAUGGGAGUGACCGAAUAAACUUACUGGCAACCGCUAGUUAAGGUGAUGAGUCAGAGGUGGUGCUCGCUGUCAGGAAUGGCAGAACUACUCAACCAAGUAGGACUCAGGCAAUAACGUAUUUUACUACUGUAGUAAUGCCCGUUAUUUGUUGGUAUACAGGAAUCCAACCUCCCUCCUU